Molecule: ribosomal RNA, 467 nt
Filed under: Pseudoselenomonas ruminantium
Lineage: Bacteria; Bacillati; Bacillota; Negativicutes; Selenomonadales; Selenomonadaceae
Description: bacterial SSU rRNA
Rfam family: Bacterial small subunit ribosomal RNA
Source: RNAcentral
CCUACGGGAGGCUGCAGUGGGGAAUCUUCCGCAAUGGGCGAAAGCCUGACGGAGCAACGCCGCGUGAGUGAAGAAGGUCUUCGGAUUGUAAAGCUCUGUUGUACAUGACGAAUGUGCCGGUUGUGAAUAAUGACUGGUAAUGACGGUAGUGUACGAGGAAGCCACGGCUAACUACGUGCCAGCAGCCGCGGUAAUACGUAGGGGGCGAGCGUUGUCCGGAAUUACUGGGCGUAAAGGGAGCGUAGGCGGUCGAUUAAGUUAGAUGUGAAACCCCCGGGCUUAACUUGGGGACUGCAUCUAAUACUGGUUGACUUAGAGUACAGGAGAGGGAAGCGGAAUUCCUAGUGUAGCGGUGAAAUGCGUAGAUAUUAGGAGGAACACCAGUGGCGAAGGCGGCUUUCUGGACUGACACUGACGCUGAGGCUCGAAAGCGUGGGGAGCAAACAGGAUUAGAUACCCGUGUAGUC